AUUGAACGCUGGCGGCAGGCUUAACACAUGCAAGUCGAGCGGAGAUGAGGUGCUUGCACCUUAUCUUAGCGGCGGACGGGUGAGUAAUGCUUAGGAAUCUGCCUAUUAGUGGGGGACAACAUUCCGAAAGGAAUGCUAAUACCGCAUACGUCCUACGGGAGAAAGCAGGGGAUCUUCGGACCUUGCGCUAAUAGAUGAGCCUAAGUCGGAUUAGCUAGUUGGUGGGGUAAAGGCCUACCAAGGCGACGAUCUGUAGCGGGUCUGAGAGGAUGAUCCGCCACACUGGGACUGAGACACGGCCCAGACUCCUACGGGAGGCAGCAGUGGGGAAUAUUGGACAAUGGGCGGAAGCCUGAUCCAGCCAUGCCGCGUGUGUGAAGAAGGCCUUUUGGUUGUAAAGCACUUUAAGCGAGGAGGAGGCUACUAGUACUAAUACUACUGGAUAGUGGACGUUACUCGCAGAAUAAGCACCGGCUAACUCUGUGCCAGCAGCCGCGGUAA
RNAcentral lists this ribosomal RNA (501 nucleotides) under uncultured bacterium. RNAcentral's name for it is "partial 16S ribosomal RNA". It matches the Rfam family "Bacterial small subunit ribosomal RNA", at positions 30 to 523 of the family's 1533-position model. The record is from RNAcentral.